Carassius gibelio (silver crucian carp) is the source of this 793-nucleotide long non-coding RNA. RefSeq lists it as uncharacterized. NCBI's taxonomy places the organism in Eukaryota, Metazoa, Chordata, Actinopteri, Cypriniformes, Cyprinidae. The transcript is spliced from 3 exons. The record is from RefSeq and is a predicted model, not a curated record.
AAACAAUAAAAGAAAGUUCAUGAAGAGCACAACAGAUGGACAGAGAGUGGAAAGUAAUAGAUCAGAUGAGAGAGGAGAUGGAGAUAGAGGAAGAAAAAGAGGGAGAUGUAGAGGCACAAGCAACAGAAAGAAAGAAGCAAGCAUGGAGAAAGAGGCUGGUACAUAAUCAUCCAUUCCAUAUCCAUACACAAAUCAGCAAGGAACCCAUCACAAUACAUUGUUGUAUUGAUAUUUAAAGCAUUGAUCCAUGUGCCCCUUUUAUACUUUGAGCACUUGCCCCUCCAAAGGUCUCUGCACGGCCCUGGUAGAAACUGAGUCUCAGACAUUCUGUGGUUCAAAACAGAAAGUCAGAUGAGAUCACGAGGGAAGCUCAGCAGGAAGUGGCUGUGUUUCGUCUCUCAGCUUGAGGAAUGCUGUUCUUCAAUGAGCCAAACAAACACAAAGACAGACGGAAAGACCAGGGAGCUCCGGUUUCGUCAGACAGUCUGCUGGAGAAGUCCGAGUCAGUCGUCCGGUUCGGUCAAACACUGCUCCAGUAUCUCCCGCAGACCGGGGGUCUCCACAGCGCUCCUCAUCAUUGAUCUGCUUGUUACCUGAGAAAAAAAACAGCACCGACUCGUCUCACACUGAUUCAAUCGCCCUCUACACAUGUGCAUCUCAAAUGAUAUUCAAAGAAUAUCUGGAGAUUAUAAUCAGUGUCUAGUGAUACAAGCCUUUUGAAGGUUGCAUAGUCUGCCAACAGGUUUCUCAACGGAUGAUAAACAUCCAUUAAAUUUAAUCUUUGCAUGCAUCA